This is a non-coding RNA of Triticum aestivum (bread wheat), 114 nucleotides long. The record is from Rfam. Lineage: Eukaryota; Viridiplantae; Streptophyta; Magnoliopsida; Poales; Poaceae.
CAUCUACUCCCUCCGUUCGGAAUUACUUGUCUCAGAAAUGAUGUAUCUAGAACUAAAAUACGUCUAGAUACAUCCAUUUCUACGACAAGUAAUUCCGAACGGAGGGAGUAGAAC